Molecule: unclassified non-coding RNA, 487 nt
Filed under: Hevea brasiliensis (rubber tree)
Lineage: Eukaryota; Viridiplantae; Streptophyta; Magnoliopsida; Malpighiales; Euphorbiaceae
Source: RNAcentral
ACAUAAUGUAGGUCCAUUGUGUUUUACAUCUGAAUUGCAAUUAUAGCUCUUAUAAUAAUGUCAAAAGAACUGAGUAGGUGAGCCUGAACCAAGGAAGAAUGAGAACAAGCAUAUGUAUAUGUAUUCUAGUUAUUAUACAUACAACAAUUAGAAAAACAUCUAACCUAACAAAACUGUGCCAUGGCUCAGCUACUCAAGCAGGUGAUUCGGCCAAAAGUAGGGUAUGCCACCAGCCACAUGCCACCUUUCGAGGGACACAACCCUCUACAGUAACUGGAGAAGGAAUGUUGCGGUCGAUCACAUCCCCCAACCCAAGCUGGCCAUACUUGUUCCACCCCCAGCAUAACACUUUCCCAUCCUCUGUGACUAUAGCAGUGUGACGAGCCCCACAAGAGAUUACUUUUGCAUGCAUAUCUUCCAAACUAGGAGCAUCCAAGAGCCUGGGGGUAGUCUCUGCCUGAUCACCACCAGUACCCAAUUGCCCAAA